UGGGGAAUAUUGCACAAUGGAGGGAACUCUGAUGCAGCAACGCCGCGUGCGGGAUGACGGCCUUCGGGUUGUAAACCGCUUUCAGCCAUGACGAAGCUUUUGUGACGGUAGUGGUAGAAGAAGCACCGGCUAACUACGUGCCAGCAGCCGCGGUGAUACGUAGGGUGCGAGCGUUGUCCGGAAUUAUUGGGCGUAAAGAGCUUGUAGGCGGUUUGUCGCGUCGAAAGUGUAAACUCAGUGCUUAACGCUGAGCCUGCUUUCGAUACGGGCUGACUAGAGGAGGGUAGGGGAGAAUGGAAUUCCCGGUGGAGCGGUGGAAUGCGCAGAUAUCGGGAGGGACACCAGUGGCGAAGGCGGUUCUCUGGACCUUUCCUGACGCUGAGAAGCGAAAGCGUGGGUAGCAAACAGG
Molecule: ribosomal RNA, 409 nt
Filed under: Fusobacteriota bacterium
Lineage: Bacteria; Fusobacteriati; Fusobacteriota
Description: Fusobacteria bacterium partial 16S ribosomal RNA
Rfam family: Bacterial small subunit ribosomal RNA
Source: RNAcentral